GAUAAACGCUGGCGGCGCACAUAAGACAUGCAAGUUGAACGGACUUAAUCGAAAUAUUUAUAUUUUGAAGCGGUUAGUGGCGGACUGGUGAGUAACGCGUAAGGAACCUGCCUAUUAGAGGGGAAUAACAGUGAGAAAUCAUUGCUAAUACCGCAUAUGCCAUAGAUAUCACAUGAUAACAGUGGGAAAGGAGCAAUCCGCUAAUAGAUGGCCUUGCGUCUGAUUAGAUAGUUGGUGGGGUAACGGCCUACCAAGUCGACGAUCAGUAGCCGGACUGAGAGGUUGAACGGCCACAUGGGGACGGAGGCACGGGCCAGACUCCUACGGGAGGCAGCAGUCGGGAAUAUUGCGCAAGGGAGGAAACUCUGACGCAGUGACGCCGCGUAUAGGAAGAAGGUUUUCGGAUUGUAAACUAUUGUCGUUAGGGAAGAGAAAGGACAGUACCUAAGGAGGAAGCUCCGGCUAACUACGUG
This 473-nucleotide ribosomal RNA is filed under the name uncultured bacterium. RNAcentral describes it as "partial 16S ribosomal RNA". It matches the Rfam family "Bacterial small subunit ribosomal RNA", at positions 28 to 507 of the family's 1533-position model. The record is from RNAcentral.